Helobdella robusta is the source of this 162-nucleotide small nuclear RNA. It matches the Rfam family "U1 spliceosomal RNA". Rfam says of the family: U1 is a small nuclear RNA (snRNA) component of the spliceosome (involved in pre-mRNA splicing). Its 5' end forms complementary base pairs with the 5' splice junction, thus defining the 5' donor site of an intron. NCBI's taxonomy places the organism in Eukaryota, Metazoa, Annelida, Clitellata, Rhynchobdellida, Glossiphoniidae. The record is from Rfam.
AUACUUACUUGGCACAGGAGUUUCCGUGAUCACGAAGGCGGACCUCCCAAACCGAGACUCAACCAUUGCACUGAGGUUGAGUUGAAGCUUGCGAUUACUCCAAAAGUGGGUAAAUCGGGUGCACAAUUUUUGUUAGUAGGGACUGCGUGCGCGCUUUCCCUC